AACGAACGCUGGCGGCAUGCCUAACACAUGCAAGUCGAACGAAGUCUUCGGACUUAAGUGGCGCACGGGUGCGUAACGCGUGGGAAUCUGCCCUUGGGUGCGGAAUAACUUCUCGAAAGGGAUGCUAAUACCGCAUAAUGUCGUAAGACCAAAGAUUUAUCGCCCAAGGAUGAGCCCGCGUAAGAUUAGCUAGUUGGUGGGGUAAAAAGCCUACCAAGGCGACGAUCUUUAGCUGGUCUGAGAGGAUGAUCAGCCACACUGGGACUGAGACACGGCCCAGACUCCUACGGGAGGCAGCAGUGGGGAAUAUUGGACAAUGGGCGAAAGCCUGAUCCAGC
This 338-nucleotide ribosomal RNA is filed under the name uncultured bacterium. RNAcentral's name for it is "bacterial SSU rRNA". It matches the Rfam family "Bacterial small subunit ribosomal RNA", at positions 29 to 392 of the family's 1533-position model. The record is from RNAcentral.